RNAcentral lists this RNase P RNA (308 nucleotides) under Betaproteobacteria bacterium. RNAcentral's name for it is "RNase P RNA component class A". It matches the Rfam family "Bacterial RNase P class A". From Rfam's summary of the family: Ribonuclease P (RNase P) is a ubiquitous endoribonuclease, found in archaea, bacteria and eukarya as well as chloroplasts and mitochondria. Its best characterised activity is the generation of mature 5'-ends of tRNAs by cleaving the 5'-leader elements of precursor-tRNAs. Lineage: Bacteria; Pseudomonadati; Pseudomonadota; Betaproteobacteria. The record is from RNAcentral.
AAAGCCCGCCGGGCGAUCGCCGGCAGCCCGACUGCCGGAGGAAAGUCCGGACUCCGUAGAGCGGCGUAGCAGGUAACGCCUGCCCACCGUGAGGUGAGGAUCAGAGCAACAGAGACGAGCCGAUUCAGUUCGGGUGAAACGGGCAAUCUCUACGCGGAGCAACACCAAAUAGGCGACCGACGACCUUGCUCGGGUAGGUCGCGGGUAGGUGGCUCGAGUCCGCCAGCGAUGGCGGGCCCAGAGGAAUGAUCGCCACGCGGCGCGACGCGCGCCGUGCACAGAAUCCGGCUUACAGGCGGGCUUUGCAU